RNAcentral lists this small RNA (76 nucleotides) under Xanthomonas sacchari. RNAcentral describes it as "sX9 sRNA". It matches the Rfam family "Xanthomonas sRNA sX9". Lineage: Bacteria; Pseudomonadati; Pseudomonadota; Gammaproteobacteria; Lysobacterales; Lysobacteraceae. The record is from RNAcentral.
GUGCACCACUUGUACAGCGUCGUUUCUGUGCGCUGUCCGCGCCGGCAUGGCGACUGCGCGCGACGUUUUGUUAGCC